UGGGGAAUAUUGGACAAUGGGCGCAAGCCUGAUCCAGCCAUGCCGCGUGAGUGAUGAAGGCCCUAGGGUUGUAAAGCUCUUUCACCGGGGAAGAUAAUGACGGUAACCGGAGAAGAAGCCACGGCUAACUUCGUGCCAGCAGCCGCGGUAAUACGAAGGGGGCGAGCGUUGUUCGGAUUUACUGGGCGUAAAGAGCACGUAGGCGGACUAUUAAGUCAGGGGUGAAAUCCCGGGGCUCAACCCCGGAACUGCCUUUGAUACUGGUAGUCUUGAGUUCGGGAGAGGUGAGUGGAAUUCCGAGUGUAGAGGUGAAAUUCGUAGAUAUUCGGAGGAACACCGUUGCCGAAGGCGGCUCCCUGGCUCGAUACUGACGCUGAGGUGCGAAAGCGUGGGGAGCAAACAGG
This 404-nucleotide ribosomal RNA is filed under the name Actinomycetes bacterium. Its description in RNAcentral is "Actinobacteria bacterium partial 16S ribosomal RNA". It matches the Rfam family "Bacterial small subunit ribosomal RNA", at positions 355 to 776 of the family's 1533-position model. Lineage: Bacteria; Bacillati; Actinomycetota; Actinomycetes. The record is from RNAcentral.